AAGAUACUAGUAGAAAAAGUACAACACCCCCUUGUCAAGGCGGAGCUGUGGGUUAAAACCCCGCGUAUCUUA
RNAcentral lists this transfer RNA (72 nucleotides) under Branchiostegus japonicus (red tilefish). RNAcentral's name for it is "tRNA-Asp". It matches the Rfam family "tRNA". Rfam says of the family: Transfer RNA (tRNA) molecules are approximately 80 nucleotides in length. The record is from RNAcentral. Lineage: Eukaryota; Metazoa; Chordata; Actinopteri; Malacanthidae.